This 497-nucleotide ribosomal RNA is filed under the name uncultured bacterium. Its description in RNAcentral is "partial 16S ribosomal RNA". It matches the Rfam family "Bacterial small subunit ribosomal RNA", at positions 28 to 507 of the family's 1533-position model. The record is from RNAcentral.
GAUGAACGCUGGCGGCGUGCCUAAUACAUGCAAGUCGAGCGAACAGACGAGGAGCUUGCUCCUCUGACGUUAGCGGCGGACGGGUGAGUAACACGUGGAUAACCUACCUAUAAGACUGGGAUAACUUCGGGAAACCGGAGCUAAUACCGGAUAAUAUAUUGAACCGCAUGGUUCAAUAGUGAAAGACGGUUUUGCUGUCACUUAUAGAUGGAUCCGCGCCGCAUUAGCUAGUUGGUAAGGUAACGGCUUACCAAGGCAACGAUGCGUAGCCGACCUGAGAGGGUGAUCGGCCACACUGGAACUGAGACACGGUCCAGACUCCUACGGGAGGCAGCAGUAGGGAAUCUUCCGCAAUGGGCGAAAGCCUGAUGGAGCAACGCCGCGUGAGUGAUGAAGGUCUUCGGAUCGUAAAACUCUGUUAUUAGGGAAGAACGAAUGUGUAAGUAACUAUGCACGUCUUGACGGUACCUAAUCAGAAAGCCACGGCUAACUACGUG